This 1457-nucleotide ribosomal RNA is filed under the name Escherichia coli. RNAcentral describes it as "partial 23S ribosomal RNA". It matches the Rfam family "Bacterial large subunit ribosomal RNA", at positions 1495 to 2925 of the family's 2925-position model. Lineage: Bacteria; Pseudomonadati; Pseudomonadota; Gammaproteobacteria; Enterobacterales; Enterobacteriaceae. The record is from RNAcentral.
GCGACGGUUGUCCCGGUUUAAGCGUGUAGGCUGGUUUUCCAGGCAAAUCCGGAAAAUCAAGGCUGAGGCGUGAUGACGAGGCACUACGGUGCUGAAGCGACAAAUGCCCUGCUUCCAGGAAAAGCCUCUAAGCAUCAGGUAACAUCAAAUCGUACCCCAAACCGACACAGGUGGUCAGGUAGAGAAUACCAAGGCGCUUGAGAGAACUCGGGUGAAGGAACUAGGCAAAAUGGUGCCGUAACUUCGGGAGAAGGCACGCUGAUAUGUAGGUGAAGCGACUUGCUCGUGGAGCUGAAAUCAGUCGAAGAUACCAGCUGGCUGCAACUGUUUAUUAAAAACACAGCACUGUGCAAACACGAAAGUGGACGUAUACGGUGUGACGCCUGCCCGGUGCCGGAAGGUUAAUUGAUGGGGUUAGCGGUAACGCGAAGCUCUUGAUCGAAGCCCCGGUAAACGGCGGCCGUAACUAUAACGGUCCUAAGGUAGCGAAAUUCCUUGUCGGGUAAGUUCCGACCUGCACGAAUGGCGUAAUGAUGGCCAGGCUGUCUCCACCCGAGACUCAGUGAAAUUGAACUCGCUGUGAAGAUGCAGUGUACCCGCGGCAAGACGGAAAGACCCCGUGAACCUUUACUAUAGCUUGACACUGAACAUUGAGCCUUGAUGUGUAGGAUAGGUGGGAGGCUUUGAAGUGUGGACGCCAGUCUGCAUGGAGCCGACCUUGAAAUACCACCCUUUAAUGUUUGAUGUUCUAACGUGGGCCCCUUACCGGGGUUGCGGACAGUGUCUGGUGGGUAGUUUGACUGGGGCGGUCUCCUCCUAAAGAGUAACGGAGGAGCACGAAGGUUGGCUAAUCCUGGUCGGACAUCAGGAGGUUAGUGCAAUGGCAUAAGCCAGCUUGACUGCGAGCGUGACGGCGCGAGCAGGUGCGAAAGCAGGUCAUAGUGAUCCGGUGGUUCUGAAUGGAAGGGCCAUCGCUCAACGGAUAAAAGGUACUCCGGGGAUAACAGGCUGAUACCGCCCAAGAGUUCAUAUCGACGGCGGUGUUUGGCACCUCGAUGUCGGCUCAUCACAUCCUGGGGCUGAAGUAGGUCCCAAGGGUAUGGCUGUUCGCCAUUUAAAGUGGUACGCGAGCUGGGUUUAGAACGUCGUGAGACAGUUCGGUCCCUAUCUGCCGUGGGCGCUGGAGAACUGAGGGGGGCUGCUCCUAGUACGAGAGGACCGGAGUGGACGCAUCACUGGUGUUCGGGUUGUCAUGCCAAUGGCACUGCCCGGUAGCUAAAUGCGGAAGAGAUAAGUGCUGAAAGCAUCUAAGCACGAAACUUGCCCCGAGAUGAGUUCUCCCUGACUCCUUGAGAGUCCUGAAGGAACGUUGAAGACGACGACGUUGAUAGGCCGGGUGUGUAAGCGCAGCGAUGCGUUGAGCUAACCGGUACUAAUGAACCGUGAGGCUUAACCUU